UACGAAGGGGGCUAUCGUUGCUCGGAGUGACUGGGCGUAAAGGGCGCGUAGGCGGUUUGUACAGUCAGGCGUGAAAUUCCUGGGCUCAACCUGGGGGCUGCGUUUGAUACGUAUGAGCUUGAGUUCGGAAGAGGGUCGUGGAAUUCCCAGUGUAGAGGUGAAAUUCGUAGAUAUUGGGAAGAACACCGGUGGCGAAGGCGGCGACCUGGUCCGAUACUGACGCUGAGGCGCGAAAGCGUGGGGAGAAAACAGG
Molecule: ribosomal RNA, 253 nt
Filed under: uncultured bacterium
Lineage: Bacteria
Description: partial 16S ribosomal RNA
Rfam family: Bacterial small subunit ribosomal RNA
Source: RNAcentral